RNAcentral lists this ribosomal RNA (302 nucleotides) under uncultured bacterium. RNAcentral's name for it is "partial 16S ribosomal RNA". It matches the Rfam family "Bacterial small subunit ribosomal RNA", at positions 508 to 807 of the family's 1533-position model. The record is from RNAcentral.
GCAGUAGCCGCGGUAAUACGGAGGGUGCAAGCGUUAAUCGGAAUUACUGGGCGUAAAGCGCACGCAGGCGGUCUGACAAGUCAGAUGUGAAAUCCCCGGGCUUAACCUGGGAACUGCAUUUGAAACUGUCAGGCUGGAGUCUUGUAGAGGGGGGUAGAAUUCCAGGUGUAGCGGUGAAAUGCGUAGAGAUCUGGAGGAAUACCGGUGGCGAAGGCGGCCCCCUGGACAAAGACUGACGCUCAGGUGCGAAAGCGUGGGGAGCAAACAGGAUUAGAUACCCCAGUAGUCCCUGUCUCUUAUAC